AUAAACAUACACACAUAGAAAUAGACAAAUUAAUAUCUCAAAUUGAGCGCCUAGGCGAGGGCCUUCCGAAUUGGUUUCAGCAUGAUGGGGCCCCAAGCCAUUUUGCCACAACUGUUAGAGAUUGGCUUAAUGACACUU
This is a long non-coding RNA of Octopus sinensis (East Asian common octopus), 138 nucleotides long. RefSeq lists it as uncharacterized. NCBI's taxonomy places the organism in Eukaryota, Metazoa, Mollusca, Cephalopoda, Octopoda, Octopodidae. The transcript has 3 exons. The record is from RefSeq and is a predicted model, not a curated record.